This 138-nucleotide small nucleolar RNA is filed under the name Ornithorhynchus anatinus (platypus). Lineage: Eukaryota; Metazoa; Chordata; Mammalia; Monotremata; Ornithorhynchidae. The record is from RNAcentral.
CUUCUCUCAGGGUGGCACCUGGAGAGUUUCCAGUACUCUACCAGUCUCGACUACGGGAGGGGGAGUCAAGCAGAGGCAUACCCAUUCCAUUCCUAGUUUAGGCAGUGGCUAGCGAGUGGAAAGCAAUCUGCUACAAAU